GAAAAUCAUUUUAUUUUCUUCUAUUCUUGAGAAUGUUUAAAGACACGUAAAGAUAGUUUUAUGUCAAGUUUGUCCAUCAUUGGUUUAGAUGGUUACCUUUUGAAAGGUUAAUAUAGAGGUGAAUUGAUAAUUGUAGUAGGGUGGGAUGACACCUUGCUAAAGUUGUCGUUCGCUGUUAUCAAGAGCCUCCUUGAAACUUCUCGGUUCAUCCGUGCUUUUAAGAUCUUCAGCAACAUUUAAGGUGUAGCAAAUUAGGUCAUCCUCUCCAAACCGUUUGGUUGGCUUAGAGAUCAUCCUUUUCUUAUUACGAACAAGCUGAUAGUUCCUUAAUUCAGUAUCAGCUCCUCUUGAGUGAUUAGAAUCAACAGAUGUUCCAUCUGCAUCAUCAUCAAGAUCUGUGAUAGAACUUCUUUACACUUCAUCAGUAGCAUGCUCCACCUCAAUGACCGUCUUACCCUUCUCACUCAGGAUUUUUCGCAUGCGUAGCCAUUAUUGUCUCAUCAAAAAUGAAAUCUCUACUAAUGAUCAAUUUUGAAGGUUUAUCACCCGACCUCCAUAGCCUGUAUCCCUUAAUUCCUUCAGUAUAUCCAGGGAAUACACUUUUCACAGCC
Molecule: long non-coding RNA, 611 nt
Filed under: Vigna radiata
Lineage: Eukaryota; Viridiplantae; Streptophyta; Magnoliopsida; Fabales; Fabaceae
Description: long non-coding RNA (VRAD_LNC008915)
Source: RNAcentral